RNAcentral lists this ribosomal RNA (468 nucleotides) under uncultured bacterium. RNAcentral describes it as "partial 16S ribosomal RNA". It matches the Rfam family "Bacterial small subunit ribosomal RNA", at positions 28 to 507 of the family's 1533-position model. The record is from RNAcentral.
GACGAACGCUGGCGGCGUGCUUAACACAUGCAAGUCGAACGGAAAGGCCCUGCUUUUGUGGGGUGCUCGAGUGGCGAACGGGUGAGUAACACGUGAGUAACCUGCCCUUGACUUUGGGAUAACUUCAGGAAACUGGGGCUAAUACCGGAUAGGAGCUCCUGCUGCAUGGUGGGGGUUGGAAAGUUUCGGCGGUUUGGGAUGGACUCGCGGCUUAUCAGCUUGUUGGUGGGGUAGGGGCUUACCAAGGCUUUGACGGGUAGCCGGCCUGAGAGGGUGACCGGCCACAUUGGGACUGAGAUACGGCCCAGACUCCUACGGGAGGCAGCAGUGGGGAAUAUUGCACAAUGGGCGGAAGCCUGAUGCAGCAACGCCGCGUGCGGGAUGACGGCCUUCGGGUUGUAAACCGCUUUCGCCUGUGACGAAGCGUGAGUGACGGUAAUGGGUAAAGAAGCACCGGCUAACUACGUG